Molecule: RNA transcript, 2244 nt
Organism: Mizuhopecten yessoensis (Yesso scallop)
Lineage: Eukaryota; Metazoa; Mollusca; Bivalvia; Pectinida; Pectinidae
Exons: 2
Source: RefSeq, a predicted model, not a curated record
CAACACGAAGCUUAAAGCUAAAUUCAUGGAAGUUGGGCAUGCUACGAAGUCGGGUCCAGGGGCAGUGGAGGCCAUAGUUUCGGAGGGCGUGGACAUGAUAGACUAUAGGCAAAAGUUGGUCAAGCUGGCCGACACGUCGGAGGCAGGAUGGAGGGCUGUCGACGAGUAUAUCGUUAAUCCCAUUGCGGAGGAUUCUGAGGACGAAAAGAGGAUGGACCGGGCCACUAAUAGGGCCAACAGGAAAAUGAAGGCGGUAUCAAAGUCUAAAUCAGCGAGGGGAGGUCGCAGAUUUAAUACCCCUUAUCAACGAUUCGGCGGACCUACGGCUACUAUUACUUCUAAUACGACGGACAGCAGCAGGUCCGGGCCGGCAUGGAGGGCACAGCGACCGGGUCUAUGCUAUAGUUGUGGUAAGCCUGGCCACUGGAGGUUGGAGUGUCCCGGGGUGUCCGGAGGGAUGGCAGCCACGAACGGCAGUAAGAUAAGUAAAUUUUGCUAUUUUAAGCAUGUUCUCCCUGAUGGUACGCCUUUGUGUAAUUCAGAUGAGGCACGAAAGGGCGACGUAAAGCAUUCUGAUGUUUUAAAUGUUAAUUUGUCUAGCAUGAAAGGUAAGGUCAGCGAGUCGCCGAUGGGUAGGUUGAGGCAGAGAGUGGAUUUCUGGCGAGAGAAAGGUACAUGCGAUGCCGUAUUAUCCAUUGUGUCGGACGGGUAUAAGAUCCCGUUUCGGGUAAUCCCGACUGGCGUUUAUUUGCACAAUAACAAGUCUGCACGAAACGAUCCAGUUUUUGUUGGGUCUGAGAUAGGAAAGUUGCUAGGGCUGGGUUUAGUUUCCGAAGUAGUGACACAGCCGUGCAUCGUAAACCCACUUACUGUUGCUUACAACAGGGCAGGUAAGCCACGCCUUGUUUUGGAUUGUCGGCAUAUCAAUCCUCAUUUGCAUAAAUUCAAGUUUAAGUACGAGGAUGCCAGGACGGCACGUGAUUUGUUCACGGAAGGUGAGUUUUUGUUUACAUUCGACCUCAAGUCUGCUUACCAUCAUGUGGAGAUUUUUCCUAGUCAUCGGACCUUUUUGGGUUUUAGUUGGGAAGAUCAAGGUAUAACAAGAUAUUACAUUUUCAACGUGUUGCCUUUCGGCAUAGCCACAGCAGGGUACGUAUUUACAAAAGUAUUACGUGAGGUAGUCAAACACGUGCGCUCAGAAGGGCACAAGCUGAUCAUGUAUUUGGACGACGGUAUCGGUGGUCAUGAGAAUCAAGGCGGGGCCAAUGAGGCCAGCAGGUAUGUACAGCGAGUGUUGUUUGGAUACGGUUUUUUGAUAGCCGAUGACAAGUGUCAAUGGCAAGCUUCGCAGUGCGUUACGUGGCUGGGGUACACGUGGUCGAUGGCAGAAGGCGUGGUUAGGGUGACCGAGGUACGGUUGGAAGGACUACUCGGGCUAUUACGUCAUACAAUGAGCCUUGUCAAUCAGCGAGGUCAGAUGUGGUUCACUGCACGAUACGUGGCUAGUAUCAUAGGUAAGAUUAUAUCGAUGCAAAGUGUAGUUGGCAGUCUGGCCAGACUACGUACACGUGAGUUGUACGCAUGUGUGAUGUUGAGAGCAGGUGGGAAUGCUCGGGUGUUACUCACACAUAGUGCUUUGGCUGAAAUAAAGCACUGGUUGUUGAAUAUGCAUGAUUUAAAUGCCAAGGGUUCCAGGUUGAAGGACACCCGGGUGUGUACAAACUUAGUUUGCACAGACGCGUCUGGCGUUGGGUAUGGCGGGUUUGUGACCCAAUGCGCAUGUUUACAUAACGAGGCGUGUGAGUUUGUGAAUGACAUGCAGGUCAUCGAGUCUCUGUGUGACGCAUCAGGUACACAGGUACCUGUGGCGGUUCCAUUGGAGGAAUCGGUAGGAUCAGGCGCUGAUGGCUUUACCUCCAUGGGGGGUAGUACGGUGAGUAUUCCGAGUGUAGCGGAAUCGGGGGGUAUGUCGCAUGUAAUAGGUGCAUAGAGUGAUGUCGAAAGGUCAUUCAGUUCUACAUGGAGAGAACUAGAGGCAGCAAAACGGGUGUUAUACAGUGUGGCCGACGAGAUGAGAGGCGUAGGAUUGGAGAGGACUCUGAAGGACGCUAUUAAUGCGUCAGGGGUCACGGAGGGGUCAUAUCUGUACUGCUGUUCAGAGGGCAUGGCAGUUAGGUUGCUGUCCAGCAAGAGCGAAAAUACUAACAAAAAAUACAGUGGAAGUUUCCGGAGAUGGCAGUCGUU